Molecule: ribosomal RNA, 666 nt
Filed under: Triticum aestivum (bread wheat)
Lineage: Eukaryota; Viridiplantae; Streptophyta; Magnoliopsida; Poales; Poaceae
Description: partial small subunit ribosomal RNA
Source: RNAcentral
AUGCAGCACCCCUUGUGCGGUGAUAGGGUGGGAGACCCUUACGCCAAGAAGCAGAAGCAACGCAAGGGGGCUGCGGCAAAUCCGCGGCAUGCUUUGCCUGCGCUGCCGGCGGCUCCGUCGUCGUGCAAGGGCACGGCGGCCGAACCAAUCCCGGUGGAGGAGGCGGAUGGUUCGGAAUGCUUCAAGUGCGGGCGUGUGGGCCACUUCCAGAUCAACUGCGAGUUCAAGCCCCUUUGUGUGCUGUGCCAACAGGAAGGCCACGCCUCGGCCUACUGCCCCACCCGCGGCAAGCCGCUGCAACUGCAGAUAAUGGGGAACGCGAUCCCGGGCCAGGGCUUCUUCUGCUUGCCGUUUGUGGAGGGGCCUGAGGACGCGGGUCCGGGGGGGCCUGGGUGCAGAUGCGGCCAUCAUCUCUGCGCCCUCGGGCCUGCUCUCGGCCAGCAUGCUGGAGGCGGAGCUCCCCCACCUCUUCGAAGGCGAGUGGGAUUGGCAAGUGCAUCAGGUGGGUGCGGACAGCUUCUCGGUGUUUUUUUCCCAACAAGGCGAUGCUGCGGAUGGCGACGCGGAGUGGCAAGCUUUUCCUCUCCCUCAACAACAUCACGGCGGACAUUCGGGAGUCGCGCGAGGACGAGCCCAAGGCCAUGUCCAUGCCGGAAGUUUGGGUGA